GACGAACCGUGCGAACGUUGUUCGGAAUCACUGGGCGUAAAGGGCGCGUAGGCGGCCCGCUAAGUCGAACGUGAAAUCCCCAGGCUCAACCUGGGAACUGCGUCCGAUACUGGCAGGCUUGAAUCCGGGAGAGGGAUGUGGAAUUCCAGGUGUAGCGGUGAAAUGCGUAGAUAUCUGGAGGAACACCGGUGGCGAAGGCGGCAUCCUGGACCGGUAUUGACGCUGAGGCGCGAAAGCUAGGGGAGCAAACGGG
Molecule: ribosomal RNA, 253 nt
Filed under: uncultured bacterium
Lineage: Bacteria
Description: partial 16S ribosomal RNA
Rfam family: Bacterial small subunit ribosomal RNA
Source: RNAcentral